This 862-nucleotide ribosomal RNA is filed under the name uncultured Fusobacterium sp. RNAcentral's name for it is "bacterial SSU rRNA". It matches the Rfam family "Bacterial small subunit ribosomal RNA", at positions 1 to 895 of the family's 1533-position model. The record is from RNAcentral. Lineage: Bacteria; Fusobacteriati; Fusobacteriota; Fusobacteriia; Fusobacteriales; Fusobacteriaceae.
AUUCAGAGUUUGAUCCUGGCUCAGGAUGAACGCUGACAGAAUGCUUAACACAUGCAAGUCUACUUGAACUUCGGUUUGGGUGGCGGACGGGUGAGUAACGCGUAAAGAACUUGCCUCACAGUUAGGGACAACAUUUGGAAACGAAUGCUAAUACCUGAUAUUAUGAUUUUAGGGCAUCCUAAGAUUAUGAAAGCUAUAUGCGCUGUGAGAGAGCUUUGCGUCCCAUUAGCUAGUUGGAGAGGUAACGGCUCACCAAAGCGAUGAUGGGUAGCCGGCCUGAGAGGGUGAACGGCCACAAGGGGACUGAGACACGGCCCUUACUCCUACGGGAGGCAGCAGUGGGGAAUAUUGGACAAUGGACCAAAAGUCUGAUCCAGCAAUUCUGUGUGCACGAUGACGUUUUUCGGAAUGUAAAGUGCUUUCAGUUGGGAAGAAAAAAAUGACGGUACCAACAGAAGAAGUGACGGCUAAAUACGUGCCAGCAGCCGCGGUAAUACGUAUGUCACAAGCGUUAUCCGGAUUUAUUGGGCGUAAAGCGCGUCUAGGUGGUUAUGUAAGUCUGAUGUGAAAAUGCAGGGCUCAACUCUGUAUUGCGUUGGAAACUGCAUGACUAGAGUACUGGAGAGGUAAGCGGAACUACAAGUGUAGAGGUGAAAUUCGUAGAUAUUUGUAGGAAUGCCGAUGGGGAAGCCAGCUUACUGGACAGAUACUGACGCUAAAGCGCGAAAGCGUGGGUAGCAAACAGGAUUAGAUACCCUGGUAGUCCACGCCGUAAACGAUGAUUACUAGGUGUUGGGGGUCGAACCUCAGCGCCCAAGCUAACGCGAUAAGUAAUCCGCCUGGGGAGUACGUACGCAAGUAU